AAAUACAUCCUAAUAUAAUUAGAAGCAACCUAGGACUCAUAGUCAUCUCAAGAAUAUAUGUGAAAAAGUUUCCUUAUUAUAAGGAUCAUCCAACAUUACUCAUAUUUCCAUGCAGUGAUUGUUGGCACCGAGACAAACGAACUUCUCCACUAGAGCAAUUGCCGCAGGCGAUUGUUCCUCAAGCCAUCCAUUAUGCUGAUGCAGCUAGCUAUCGUGGACGGGUAACUUUAUCUUGUAGGUACUCUGUGUAUCCUUUCAUGAAUGCCACUCAUUCCCAUUGCAAAUUGUGCAAAAUGAUUUGACUCUUUCGUAACAGUGAUCAGGGGUAUGAUAAAAACAUUCAAAAAGAAAGUGGUGAACAAGGAGAUGCAUACAGCAGUGCAUGCAUGUGGCUUUCUAGAAAAACAAUGCUAAUUAGAUUGGCCAGGAUAGGAAAUAGUACUCAUACAGUCCUAGUUAUAUACAUAUAGGAAGAAGAGCAUAAGUAGACAGAGGUAGCCAGGGAACCAUAUAAUU
This 516-nucleotide long non-coding RNA is filed under the name Oryza brachyantha (malo sina). RNAcentral describes it as "long non-coding RNA (OBRA_LNC002636)". The record is from RNAcentral. Lineage: Eukaryota; Viridiplantae; Streptophyta; Magnoliopsida; Poales; Poaceae.